RNAcentral lists this long non-coding RNA (1305 nucleotides) under Equus asinus (donkey). Its description in RNAcentral is "lncRNA (ENSEASG00005028454.1)". The record is from RNAcentral. Lineage: Eukaryota; Metazoa; Chordata; Mammalia; Perissodactyla; Equidae.
AGAAUCACUGAAAUGAGAGCUCCCGGGAGAGGAGCAGAUCCUGUCCUUUAACGAGCUCCCCAAGGAGCCGGCGGCCGCAAGAUGCAUCCUCGGUAAACAAAACCCGGGCGGGGAAAGCGCAGACGGGGAGGACUCGGAGCUCAGUGUCUGCGGUGCAGCCUGCCUUGCGGUGGGCGGCAGCGUGUUUGGAGCUGAUUCUGAAUAUUUAAAAGCCAAAGUUGUCAGAAAUACCUCACACAGCUACAAACUGGGUUUUUUGGCUCAAAACAGAGGUGAGGUUUUCCUCUCUCUAUCGUUGCUUUUAACGUCUAGAACCUGGCACAUCUUCCUCAGCCGUUGCGGUGGGCUGCACCGUGGCCCCCAAGAUACGUCCGCGUCCUCAUCCCUGAAACCUGCAAACAUAACCUCACACAGUAAACGAGUAAAUUUCUUACACGGCAAAAGAUGUGAUUAAUUGGAGGAUUUUGAGAGGAGGAGCUUAUCUUGGAUUAUCUGGGUGGGCCCUAAAUCCAGGGACAAUUGUCUGUAGAAGAGCGAGGCAGAGGCAGUCUGACAGACGGGAGAGGAGAAGGUGAAGAUGAAGACAGGCUGGAGUGACGCUGCUGCCAGUCCAGGAAUGCUGGCAGCUGCCGGAGCUGGAACAGGCAAAGGACAGAUUCCCCCCAGAACCCGCAGAGAGACUGUCGUCCUGGGGACGUCUUGAUUUCAGACUCCGGCCCCAGAACGAGGAGAGAAUAAAUGUCUGUUGUUUUCUGCCUCCCAGUUUGGGGUUGUUUGUUACAGCAGCCACAGAAAACUAAUACAGUCAUGAAAGUUAUUCCAAAUUUUGAGAAGGAAAGUUAAGUAAUUGAAUUUGCCCCACCCCAGGGCCUUUGCACGUGCUGACCCUUCUUCUGUUGUGCUCUGCCCCAGCUCACCCAUGCCCAGCUCCUUCUCACAAGUCCUAGUCCUGCUUAAAUGUCACUUCCUCAUAGAAGCCUUCCCUGACCCCUGCCCCAGUAAAAGGAGCCACUUGUCACUCUUAGCCCCUUACUCUAUUCGAGGGUUUCCCUUGCACUUACUACAAUAUAAAAUGAUCUGUCCAUUGGUUUACUUGGUAAUUGUCUCCACACGAGUGGGACCCUGGUCUGGCUAUAUUUCUAGUGCCAGGUACCUAGUGGAGGCUAAAUAAAUAUGUAUUUGGUAAAAAGAAUUAAUGUUCCUAAAACAUAGAGAAAUGCAAACACUAUACAAUAAAACAAGACUCCAAAGAAUUCUUGAGCUACAAAGGGUCUCUUGGCCACAUCCAGCCCCAUGGGACACACU